AACGAACGCUGGCGGCAGGCCUAACACAUGCCAGUCGAGCGAGGACUUCGGUUCUAGCGGCGGACGGGUGAGUAACGCGUGGGAAUGUGCCCUUCUCUACGGAAUAGCCCUGGGAAACUGGGAGUAAUACCGUAUACGCCCUAUUGGGGAAAGAUUUAUCGGAGAAGGAUCAGCCCGCGUUGGAUUAGGUAGUUGGUGGGGUAAUGGCCUACCAAGCCGACGAUCCAUAGCUGGUUUGAGAGGAUGAUCAGCCACACUGGGACUGAGACACGGCCCAGACUCCUACGGGAGGCAGCAGUGGGGAAUCUUAGACAAUGGGGGCAACCCUGAUCGAGCCAUGCCGCGUGAGUGAUGAAGGCCUUAGGGUUGUAAAGCUCUUUCAGCUGGGAAGAUAAUGACGGUACCGGCAGAAGAAGCCCCGGCUAACUCCGUG
This 433-nucleotide ribosomal RNA is filed under the name uncultured bacterium. Its description in RNAcentral is "partial 16S ribosomal RNA". It matches the Rfam family "Bacterial small subunit ribosomal RNA", at positions 29 to 507 of the family's 1533-position model. The record is from RNAcentral.